UAGCGGCGGACGGGUGAGUAAUGCUUAGGAAUCUGCCUAUUAGUGGGGGACAACAUCUCGAAAGGUGGUCGAUGCUAAUACCGCAUACGUCCUACGGGAGAAAGCAGGGGACCUUCGGGCCUUGCGCUAAUAGAUGAGCCUAAGUCGGAUUAGCUAGUUGGUGGGGUAAAGGCCUACCAAGGCGACGAUCUGUAGCGGGUCUGAGAGGAUGAUCCGCCACACUGGGACUGAGACACGGCCCAGAGUUCUACGGGAGGCAGCAGUGGGGAAUAUUGGACAAUGGGGGGAACCCUGAUCCAGCCAUGCCGCGUGUGUGAAGAAGGCCUUUUGGUUGUAAAGCACUUUAAGCGAGGAGGAGGCUACCGAGAUUAAUACUCUUGGAUAGUGGACGUUACUCGCAGAAUAAGCACCGGCUAACUCUGUGCCAGCAGCCGCGGUAAUACAGAGGGUGCAAGCGUUAAUCGGAUUUACUGGGCGUAAAGCGCGCGUAGGUGGCCAAUUAUCUCAAAUGUGAAAUCCCCGAGCUUAACUUGGGAAUUGCAUUCGAUACUGGUUGGCUAGAGUAUGGGAGAGGAUGGUAGAAUUCCAGGUGUAGCGGUGAAAUGCGUAGAGAUCUGGAGGAAUACCGAUGGCGAAGGCAGCCAUCUGGCCUAAUACUGACACUGAGGUGCGAAAGCAUGGGGAGCAAACAGGAUUAGAUACCCUGGUAGUCCAUGCCGUAAACGAUGUCUACUAGCCGUUGGGGCCUUUGAGGCUUUAGUGGCGCAGCUAACGCGAUAAGUAGACCGCCUGGGGAGUACGGUCGCAAGACUAAAACUCAAAUGAAUUGACGGGGGCCCGCACAAGCGGUGGAGCAUGUGGUUUAAUUCGAUGCAACGCGAAGAACCUUACCUGGUCUUGACAUAGUAAGAACUUUCCCUUGAUGGAUUGGUGCCUUCGGGAACUUACAUACAGGUGCUGCAUGGCUGUCGUCAGCUCGUGUCGUGAGAUGUUGGGUUAAGUCCCGCAACGAGCGCAACCCUUUUCGGUAUUUGCCAGCGGGUUAAGCCGGGAACUUUAAGGAUACUGCCAGUGACAAACUGGAGGAAGGCGGGGACGACGUCAAGUCAUCAUGCUUGGA
Molecule: ribosomal RNA, 1120 nt
Filed under: Acinetobacter sp.
Lineage: Bacteria; Pseudomonadati; Pseudomonadota; Gammaproteobacteria; Moraxellales; Moraxellaceae
Description: bacterial SSU rRNA
Rfam family: Bacterial small subunit ribosomal RNA
Source: RNAcentral